This 444-nucleotide ribosomal RNA is filed under the name uncultured prokaryote. RNAcentral describes it as "bacterial SSU rRNA". It matches the Rfam family "Bacterial small subunit ribosomal RNA", at positions 355 to 795 of the family's 1533-position model. The record is from RNAcentral.
UAAGGAGUAUUGGGCAAUGGACGCAAGUCUGACCCAGCCAUGCCGCGGGAAGGAUGAAGGCCCUAUGGGUUGUAAACUUCUUUUAUACGGGAAAAAACCACCGGUCGUGUAUCGGUGCUGAUGGUACCGUAAGAAUAAGCAUCGGCUAACUCCGUGCCAGCAGCCGCGGUAAUACGGAGGAUGCAAGCGUUAUCCGGAUUCAUUGGGUUUAAAGGGUGCGCAGGCGGAUUAAUAAGUCAGUGGUGAAAUCCUACGGCUCAACUGUAGAACUGCCAUUGGUACUGUUAGUCUUGAGUAUUGUUGAGGUAGGCGGAAUGUGUCAUGUAGCGGUGAAAUGCUUAGAUAUGACACAGAACACCAAUCGCGAAGGCAGCUUACCAAGCAAUACCUGACGCUCAUGCACGAAAGCGUGGGGAUCCAACAGUAUUAGACAUCCGAGUAGUC